Molecule: ribosomal RNA, 435 nt
Filed under: Aphthona depressa
Lineage: Eukaryota; Metazoa; Arthropoda; Insecta; Coleoptera; Chrysomelidae
Description: partial 16S large subunit ribosomal RNA
Source: RNAcentral
GUCCUUUAGAAAUUUAUUUAAGGUCUAGCCUGCCCAAUGAAUAGUUGAAUGGCCGCGAUAUUUUGAUCGUGCUAAGGUAGCAUAAUCAUUAGUUUUUUAAUUGAAAACUAGUAUGAAGGGUUGGAUGAAAAAUUUUCUGUCUCUAGUUAAAUUUUAUCAGAACUUUAUUUUUAAGUUAAAAAGCUUAAAUUUUUUUAAAAGACGAGAAGACCCUAUAGAGUUUAAUAUAAAGUAUUUAUAUAUAAUUGUAGAAUUUAAUUUAUUUAUUUAAAUUUGUAUUUAAUUGGGGUGAUUAAAAAAUUUAAUAAACUUUAAUUUUAUAAAAAUAUUAAUUAAUAAUUAUAUGAUCCAAAAUUUUUGAUUAUAAGUAAAAAUUACCUUAGGGAUAACAGCGUAAUUUUAUUAAAGAGUUCUAAUCGAAAAUAAAGAUUGCGA